RNAcentral lists this ribosomal RNA (465 nucleotides) under Vreelandella stevensii. RNAcentral's name for it is "partial 16S ribosomal RNA". It matches the Rfam family "Bacterial small subunit ribosomal RNA", at positions 338 to 795 of the family's 1533-position model. The record is from RNAcentral. Lineage: Bacteria; Pseudomonadati; Pseudomonadota; Gammaproteobacteria; Oceanospirillales; Halomonadaceae.
CCUACGGGGGGCAGCAGUGGGGAAUAUUGGACAAUGGUGGGAACCCUGAUCCAGCCAUGCCGCGUGUGUGAAGAAGGCCCUCGGGUUGUAAAGCACUUUCAGUGAGGAAGAACGCCUGGUGGUUAAUACCCAUCAGGAAAGACAUCACUCACAGAAGAAGCACCGGCUAACUCCGUGCCAGCAGCCGCGGUAAUACGGAGGGUGCGAGCGUUAAUCGGAAUUACUGGGCGUAAAGCGCGCGUAGGUGGCUUGAUAAGCCGGUUGUGAAAGCCCCGGGCUCAACCUGGGAACGGCAUCCGGAACUGUCAAGCUAGAGUGCAGGAGAGGAAGGUAGAAUUCCCGGUGUAGCGGUGAAAUGCGUAGAGAUCGGGAGGAAUACCAGUGGCGAAGGCGGCCUUCUGGACUGACACUGACACUGAGGUGCGAAAGCGUGGGUAGCAAACAGGAUUAGAUACCCGGGUAGUC